Molecule: long non-coding RNA, 550 nt
Organism: Pseudoliparis swirei
Lineage: Eukaryota; Metazoa; Chordata; Actinopteri; Perciformes; Liparidae
Exons: 2
Source: RefSeq, a predicted model, not a curated record
UGCUGCUCCCGGGUUUUUCCUACUCAGCUCAGAGUUUUGUUUUUUCUCCUGCCUGUUUUUGUGGACUUAAUAAAUCCAGCUCUUUUGGUUACACUCCACCCAAAGUCUCCGUCCCAGUGUUUCUGCAUAGCGGGUUCUCCUUUUGUGUCUCUCCCCGCGGAGUCCUAACAGUAUCUUAAACUCAACAAUCAGAGGAGCUUCCCGAACUCCGCGUUCCCACCCGAAGGUUGUGUUAUGGGUUUGGGGAGUCUGAUAAGGAAGUGAUAAUAAACCAGACGGAAGGAAUAUGUCAACUUGUCCUCAGUUACACUUCUCCUUUGUUGUUGUGUUAUGGGUUUGGGGAGUCUGAUAAGGAAGUGAUAAUAAACCAGACGGAAGGAAUAUGUCAACUUGUCCUCAGUUACACUUCUCCUUUGUUGUUGUGUGUGUGUGUGAUUAAGCUUUCAAUAAAAGGCUGGACCAAAGGGGUGCUCGGCGGAAUGUCUUGGAGGUCGUCGUGCUCGUAGCACGUGCGUCUGAGCUUCCCCUUUGGCCAAAGCUUACAAAGAUA